GAUGAAGAACGUAGCGAAAUGCGAUAAGUAAUGUGAAUUGCAGAACUCAGUGAAUCAUCGAAUCUUUGAACGCACAUUGCGCCCAUUAGUAUUCUAGUGGGCAUGCCUGUUCGAGCGUCAUUAAGUCCACUUAAGCCCUGCUUAGUGUUGGGAGACUGCUCCAGCGGUGCUACCCUGUAGCUACCCUGCAGCUCCUCAAAGACAGCGGCGGAGUUGUGGUAUCCUCUGAGCUUAGUAACUUGUUCUAGCUUUCGAGUACACCACUUCCCCUGCCGUAAAACCCUUAAUUUUUAAUGGUUGACCUCGGAUCAGGUAGGAAUACCCGCUGAACUUAAGCAUAUCAAUAAGCGGAGGA
Molecule: unclassified non-coding RNA, 355 nt
Filed under: soil metagenome
Description: partial contains 5.8S ribosomal RNA, internal transcribed spacer 2, and large subunit ribosomal RNA
Rfam family: 5.8S ribosomal RNA (bases 1-120)
Source: RNAcentral